Molecule: long non-coding RNA, 1655 nt
Organism: Megalobrama amblycephala (Wuchang bream)
Lineage: Eukaryota; Metazoa; Chordata; Actinopteri; Cypriniformes; Xenocyprididae
Exons: 5
Source: RefSeq, a predicted model, not a curated record
UGUUACAACAGACCAACAAGGGGAGAUUAGAUGGUUUUUUAAAGACACUCUCAUUGCUGAAAUUAUUGAACAUCUCAGUUACAACUGUACAGAUGUUCAGUGUAAUGAAGGAACUGGGAGAUUCAGAGACAAACUGAAGCUGGAUCAUCAGACUGGAUCUCUGACCAUCAUAAACAUUGAAGACUCAGACUCUGGAGAAUAUCAAAUAAAGUUUAACAGCAGCAGCGACAGUGAAAAUAUCUUCAAGGUUAUUGUCUGGGGUAUUUCUGCUAGAAAAGAAAUGAAGAUCACAGAGGGAGGAUCUGUCUUUUUAGAAGCUGGAAUAAUGACACAAAAUGAUAUGGUAACUUGGUAUUUUUAUGACACUCAAAUCGCUCGAGUCACUGGAGAUCUCAGUUUGAUUGGUACAGAUGUUCAGUGGAAAGAUAAUAAUAAGAGAUACAGAGAGAGGCUGAAGCUGAGUUAUCAGUUUACAUGGUCUCUGACCAUCACAAAUGUCAGUACCACAGACUCUGGACUUUAUACACUAAAGAUCAUCAAGAGCAAUUUCACCAUCAUGAGGAGCGUCACUGUUACUGUCACUGCUCCAAGUCUGAUACCUGCUGCUUUUCUCACUGCUGUUCUGGUGGUGGUUGUUUGUUCCUGUUGCAUGCAAUAGCAUGCCAGAAUGAUGUCAGGACGCAGCACGAUGACUGGGUGAGAUAUGUGAGAUGAAUCUGUCUCAGAUCUCUGACAUCUGAUUACAUUUUUGGAAUACCCCUCAAUAAAUACUGCAUUUGGAUCCUCAGUACAUCAGUCUCCUUGCAGUACAUGACAGAUAGCCUUCAUGUUGCCCCCGAUACUUGUUUGUUCGUCUUGAGCCAAGGAUUACAACAAUAUAAGACACUUGAGUCUGUGACUAACAGGAGUUAUGAUCAUUGCAGCGCCAACAGUUAUAGGCAGGUGUGUGUGGAGGCUUACUCAUUUGUGAUUAAUAAUCCAAUUACAUAUUACAUUUUGCAUGGCACCUAACUUAUUCUGCAGCAGUUUGUUUCUGCUGAAGAAGUGAUAUCUAAGGUCACUGAAGAUACAAUAUCUUGUGUGUUUUGCCUUUACUCCCCCAAACCUGUCAACAAGGCUGCUCGACAUGAAUGUGAGUGUUUUAGCAGCAAGUAGCUGAAUCGCAGGUGUUUGAUUUUUUGAGAUAAGGACCUGCAGCAGGUGAUGAGGCCGAAACCAGCACAUUCAAAUAGGCUUUGACUGUUUCAUUUUACUUAUGCUAUAUUGACAAGACAUUUUUAUAGGAUAUUGAUUUACUUAUGGCCUUUUACUUAUGGAUUUGAGAGUUUGUAGACAUUUAAGAGGCUGUUGUGUCAAACUUUAAUUUUUUUUUCUUCCAAAUUUGAGGUGUUUCAUUUUAUUAUGACUUUGGAGAACAUUAUUGCUCUCCUCACAAAUCAACUGUUUCUUGCAUUUCACUGGCAUGUAUAUAAAUCUAUAACCCCACCUAAGAAGCGAUAGAAGGGAUUUUAUGAUUGAUUUGAUGAUAAAUGAAUGAUUGAUGGUUCGUUCAGAUCAAGUCUUAUGAAGUACAUAUAUUGUUAGAAACUUGGAAUUUCAUCAUUUCACUCUCUUAAAACACAUUCUUUCAUCACUUUCAUCCCUUUCUUUCUGCA